GACGAACGCUGGCGGCGUGCUUAACACAUGCAAGUCGAACGAGGUCCACUGCGUAGCAAUACAAGGGAAGACCUAGUGGCGAACGGGUGCGUAACACGUGAGGAACUUGUCCCGGUCUCUGGGAUAACAGUUGGAAACGACUGCUAAUACCGGAUGACGUCGGAAUCUCGCAUGGGAUACUGACGAAAGGGUUACUGGAUCGGGAGAGCCUCGCGGCCUAUCAGCUUGUUGGUGAGGUAACGGCUCACCAAGGCAUCGACGGGUAGCUGGUCUGAGAGGAUGAUCAGCCACACUGGGACUGAGACACGGCCCAGACUCCUACGGGAGGCAGCAGUGGGGAAUCUUGCGCAAUGGGCGAAAGCCUGACGCAGCGACGCCGCGUGCGGGAAGAAGGCCCUCGGGUUGUAAACCGCUUUCAGUAGGAACGAAAAUGACGGUACCUGCAGAAGAAGGUGCGGCCAACUACGUGCCAGCAGCCGCGGUAAU
This 486-nucleotide ribosomal RNA is filed under the name uncultured bacterium. Its description in RNAcentral is "bacterial SSU rRNA". It matches the Rfam family "Bacterial small subunit ribosomal RNA", at positions 28 to 524 of the family's 1533-position model. The record is from RNAcentral.